This is an RNA transcript of Centruroides sculpturatus (bark scorpion), 931 nucleotides long. RefSeq lists it as uncharacterized. The record is from RefSeq and is a predicted model, not a curated record. The transcript has 4 exons. NCBI's taxonomy places the organism in Eukaryota, Metazoa, Arthropoda, Arachnida, Scorpiones, Buthidae.
GGCAAAAAGUAAUACAGAUAAACAUGAAAAUUAAAACAUUGCAUAAUAAUUAAUGGGUCAUUAUUAGGUUUAAUGCAUUAUUAUAUAAUUAUCGCUGCAUCAAAUUGAAAUUAUAGGAUUCCAGAAGAUUUCAUGUUAGCAGGAUCCAUAACAAUUACCCCUGCAGACCCAGCAAUUGGAAGAAAUUUUAAGUUGAUAUCAGGAGGACUAUUUAUUGCGCUGAAGUUAAUUGUGGAUUUAAUACAACAUAUAAUUACAAAUUAAGAGAACAUUUAAGAGACGAACACGAACUUGCUUCGUACGAAUCAAGAAAAAUUAUAUUCGAAUCUUUAGAAAAAUUUUGGGAAUGGAAACAUCAAGUCGAAAAAGCAAGUUGUUCAAAAUUUUUCCAAACUAGUAAGAAGAAAUUAGGUUCUGGUUAUAGUAAAUAUUAUUUUUCUUGUAACAGAACUGGAAUUUAUAAGCCAAAAGGAAAUAACAAGAGAGCUUUGAAGUUUCAGGGAAGCUGCAAAAUUAAUGGUCACUGUACUGCAUUUAUCAUAUGUAUAGAAGAAGAAGAAAAAUGCAUUGUGGAAUAUUGUUUACAACACUAUGCACACAACAUCGAAGUGGGAAAUUUAUCGUUGGACGAGGACGAAAACCAGGCAACCACUCGCGAUUCAAAUAAACCUAAUAAGCAGAAAAAACAUAAAAGGCCAACAAUAUAUUGUCCAAAAUAACCUAUAGCACUUGAAUGAAAUUUAUAAGAAUUAUUUUGAUAUUUAUAAAUUUAUACUGUAAAAAGAACUGUAUUAUAUUUGUUAACAAAUGAAAUAAAUUUUUGUUUUGUUUUGUAACAUGUUUUGUUUUGAAGAAGUAAGGCAAGUUGUAAUUUUUGGAAUAGAAAACUAUUUCCAAAUUGGCACAUUAUAACAUGCAUCCAGGAUGUUUU